Molecule: ribosomal RNA, 253 nt
Filed under: uncultured bacterium
Lineage: Bacteria
Description: partial 16S ribosomal RNA
Rfam family: Bacterial small subunit ribosomal RNA
Source: RNAcentral
UACGUAGGGGGCAAGCGUUGUCCGGAAUCAUUGGGCGUAAAGAGCGUGUAGGCGGCUUGGUAAGUCCGCUGUGAAAGUCCAGGGCUCAACCCUGGAAAGCCGGUGGAAACUGUCAAGCUCGAGUCCGGAAGAGGCGAGUGGAAUUCCUGGUGUAGCGGUGAAAUGCGCAGAUAUCUGGAGGAACACCGGUGGCGAAGGCGGCAUCCUGGACCAAUAUUGACGCUGAGGAGCGAAAGCUAGGGGAGCAAACGGG